Syngnathus acus (greater pipefish) is the source of this 355-nucleotide long non-coding RNA. RefSeq lists it as uncharacterized. Lineage: Eukaryota; Metazoa; Chordata; Actinopteri; Syngnathiformes; Syngnathidae. The transcript has 3 exons. The record is from RefSeq and is a predicted model, not a curated record.
UCGUCCCCGUAGGCAUAGUAUUGUCCAAUAAAAAUCGCGCUUUUUUUGUCCGACCUGGCGUCACCCUUCUGUACACCGAAGGGCAGCUAGGAUUGGGUGAUACGAUGCAACCGUGCAUUUCAGCGGUAGAAAAACAGAUGGGAUGGAUUGCAAACGUGAUCGUAUUUUAUAUUUUGAAAGCUAAUUUAACAUUUUGAUUUCAGUAGGUCUAUUUUUUACUUUGAUAAUAUAACAAAAUUAUUUAUGACUUCAAUUGAGUAAACAAAUGUCAGAUUUGUCCGCGAGCCAGAUGCAGUCACCAAAAGAGCCAUAUCUGGCUCGCGAGCCAUAGGUUCCCGACCCCUGGUCUACAGUA